Molecule: ribosomal RNA, 777 nt
Filed under: uncultured eukaryote
Lineage: Eukaryota
Description: bacterial SSU rRNA
Rfam family: Eukaryotic small subunit ribosomal RNA
Source: RNAcentral
UCGAUUCCGGAGAGGGAGCCUGAGAAACGGCUACCACAACUAAGGUUGGCAGCAGGCGCGCAAAUUGCCCAAUAGCAACACAUCGCUGAGGCAGCGAAGAGAAAUAGCAACUUCAUGCGGUUUUCCCGUGUGAAGAUUGCCAUGGACGAUAUCUAAACCUGUCGCUGAGUAUCAAUUGGUGGACNAGUCUGGUGCCAGCACCCGCGGUAAUUCCAGCACCAAUAGCGUAUAUUAAUGCUGCUGCUGUUAAAAAGCUCGUAGUUGGAUCAAGAGUUGGACAGUGCACGGUGGCCUCGUCGACUGCGUGGUUCCGAUCACAAGGAAGGCGGCGGAUCAACCCCGUGCAUCAAACUGUCCACUCUAACAGACCGAAACGGCGCCCUGUGAGUAAGCUCCUUCAUUGGGGCUGAAAGCGCCUUCGCAUUCACCAUAUGCAUACGGGCCGUCGGUCAAUGUUACUGUGAACAAACCAGCGUGCUCAAAGCAGGCUUUCGCCUGAACGUUCGAGCAUGGAAUAACAAGGGAUCGAUUCUCUCGGUUCUUUUUGUUGGUUUUUAACCCGAGAAGGAGUAAUUCAGGUCACGGUGUCUGAGCCAGGUACCCCUUCGCCCAGGCGGAGGCCCUGGUUAGGCCGUGGCCUUACGGGACUAAUAGGGACGGACGGGGUCGUACGUACUUCCACGUCAGAGGUGAAAUUCUUAGAUCGUGGGAAGACGAACUUCUGCGAAAGCAUUCGACAAGAACGCCUUCAUUAAUCAAGAACGAGAGUGUGGGGAU